RNAcentral lists this ribosomal RNA (456 nucleotides) under uncultured bacterium. RNAcentral describes it as "bacterial SSU rRNA". It matches the Rfam family "Bacterial small subunit ribosomal RNA", at positions 355 to 828 of the family's 1533-position model. The record is from RNAcentral.
UGGGGAAUAUUGCGCAAUGGGGGAAACCCUGACGCAGCCAUGCCGCGUGAGUGAAGAAGGUCUUCGGAUCGUAAAGCUCUUUCAACGGUGAAGAUGAUGACGGUAGCCGUAGAAGAAGCCCCGGCUAACUUCGUGCCAGCAGCCGCGGUAAUACGAAGGGGGCAAGCGUUGUUCGGAAUUACUGGGCGUAAAGGGCGUGUAGGCGGUCUAAUCAGUCAGAGGUGAAAGCCCUGGGCUCAACCCAGGAAUUGCCUUUGAUACUGUUAGACUAGAGUUCGGGAGAGGAUAGUGGAAUUCCCAGUGUAGAGGUGAAAUUCGUAGAUAUUGGGAAGAACACCAGUGGCGAAGGCGGCUAUCUGGACCGAUACUGACGCUGAGGCGCGAAAGCGUGGGGAGCAAACAGGAUUAGAUACCCUGGUAGUCCACGCCGUAAACGAUGAGUGCUAGAUGUUGGGA